GGGGGUGUACUGGUUUCGACGGGAAUCACGUAUAUCGGGGCAGCCAUUCGCAGAAUCCGGAGCUGCGUCAACAAUCUGGAACUUAAAUAUAAACGCAGAAGAAAAUUACGCUUUUGCUGCUUAAUUAAAAGCAGCUGUCUCUCUUAGAUUCCCGCAGUCUAAGAAGAGGCACCGACCAGGCGGGCAACUUUCUCUCUUAAGCUUUGCGGAGAGAUCGUAUUGAUGAAGCUACCAAGGUAAAAAGCCUGUCGUUAGGCGUUUUACCAAGGGAAUUUUAAAAUAACGACUAUAAUGGAAGAGACCACGAUAUAUGGAUUUUCGGACGGGGGUUCAACUCCCCCCACCUCCAUCG
Molecule: transfer-messenger RNA, 352 nt
Filed under: Defluviitaleaceae
Lineage: Bacteria; Bacillati; Bacillota; Clostridia; Lachnospirales
Also listed under: 2 other names
Description: JAAYML01 sp012521395 Standard tmRNA
Rfam family: transfer-messenger RNA
About the family: Bacterial tmRNA, also known as 10Sa RNA or SsrA, is named for its dual tRNA and mRNA-like properties. Its role is to liberate the mRNA from a stalled ribosome.
Source: RNAcentral